GACGAACGCUGGCGGCGUGCUUAACACAUGCAAGUCGAACGGAAAGGCUCCAGCUUGCUGGAGUACUCGAGUGGCUAACGGGUGAGUGACACGUGGGUAAUCUGCCCUGCACUCUGGGAUAAGCCUGGGAAACUUGGUCUAAUACUGGAUAUGACCUUUCUCCUUAUGGGGUUUGGUGGAAAGUUUUUCGGUGUAGGAUGAGCCCGCGGCCUAUCAGCUUGUUGGUGGGGUGAUGGCCUACCAAGGCGACGACGGGUAGCCGGCCUGAGAGGGUGAUCGGCCACAUUGGGACUGAGAUACGGCCCAGACUCCUACGGGAGGCAGCAGUGGGGAAUAUUGCACAAUGGGCGGAAGCCUGAUGCAGCGACGCCGCGUGAGGGAUGACGGCCUUCGGGUUGUAAACCUCUUUCAGCAGGGACGAAGCGUAAGUGACGGUACCUGCAGAAGAAGCACCGGCUAACUAUGUG
Molecule: ribosomal RNA, 467 nt
Filed under: uncultured bacterium
Lineage: Bacteria
Description: partial 16S ribosomal RNA
Rfam family: Bacterial small subunit ribosomal RNA
Source: RNAcentral